RNAcentral lists this ribosomal RNA (253 nucleotides) under uncultured bacterium. RNAcentral's name for it is "partial 16S ribosomal RNA". It matches the Rfam family "Bacterial small subunit ribosomal RNA", at positions 524 to 776 of the family's 1533-position model. The record is from RNAcentral.
UACGGAGGGUGCAAGCGUUAUCCGGAAUCAUUGGGUUUAAAGGGUCCGUAGGCGGACUAAUAAGUCAGAGGUGAAAUCCCGCAGCUCAACUGUGGAACUGCCUUUGAAACUGUUAGUCUUGAGUUAUUGUGAAGUGGUUAGAAUAUGUAGUGUAGCGGUGAAAUGCUUAGAGAUUACAUGGAAUACCGAUUGCGAAGGCAGAUCACUAACAAUAUACUGACGCUGAUGGACGAAAGCGUGGGGAGCGAACAGG